This 749-nucleotide long non-coding RNA is filed under the name Pan troglodytes (chimpanzee). Its description in RNAcentral is "long non-coding RNA NONPTRT011513". The record is from RNAcentral. Lineage: Eukaryota; Metazoa; Chordata; Mammalia; Primates; Hominidae.
GGGAUGCGUGGGUAGCUUACCUAAGGCCUGCUAAGUCUCUUACCAUUAAAUUUGUGUCUGGUGAGCCUUUCCUCCAAAACCAGAUCUGCAACUUUGAACAAGCAAAAUUAUGGUCUUUGACUUUUCUGAAACUCUGAAUGGCAGCUGCCAUUUUGAUAUGUUUUUCAUUUUCUUUUGGCAACAAAACAUCAAUUUUGUUGGCCUUAAUAUUUUUAUUUCUUGGCAGGUUAAGAUGAGGUAUAGAAGGCAACUGAUACAUACUAAGUGCUCAAAAAAUAUUAACUCCCUGUCCUCCAUCAUGGCUCAAGAAAAUACAACAGCUGAGCACACCCAGGGGUUGCUUACUAUUUACUCAUCAGUUUAGUGUAUCAAAGUACACACAAAAGAUUUUAAGAAACAGAAGAGAAAAGAAUCUGAGGCACAGAUAAAGAUAAGUUUUACUGUCAUGCUGCUUUUAACAUAACCGAGCAACAUCACCUAGGAAUUCCUUCUUUAAAUCCAAAAACUAUUCUUUGUUUAACUCUUCCUCUCUGGUUUGGAAAGAAGGAUAAAUAAGCAUAUGGUUUGGUCAUACAUCAAAGUCCUAUCAGUAGGAAAUUAUGGCAUCUUCACAUUUAACAUGUAUCAGAGAAAUUUCAUUAUGGAGUUUAAACUAUGUGCCGUUGUCUAUUCUUGUACAUAGGAGGGUUAACACUCUAAGAGGAAAAACAUAAAAGCAAAUAUAUUUGCAUCACACCCUCUCAACUACA